Molecule: ribosomal RNA, 404 nt
Filed under: Verrucomicrobiota bacterium
Lineage: Bacteria; Pseudomonadati; Verrucomicrobiota
Description: Verrucomicrobia bacterium partial 16S ribosomal RNA
Rfam family: Bacterial small subunit ribosomal RNA
Source: RNAcentral
UGGGGAAUAUUGGACAAUGGGCGCAAGCCUGAUCCAGCCAUGCCGCGUGAGUGAUGAAGGCCCUAGGGUUGUAAAGCUCUUUCACCGGUGAAGAUAAUGAUGGUAACCGGAGAAGAAGCACCGGCUAACUUCGUGCCAGCAGCCGCGGUAAUACGAAGGGGGCUAGCGUUGUUCGGAUUUACUGGGCGUAAAGCGCACGUAGGCGGACUAUUAAGUCAGGGGUGAAAUCCCGGGGCUCAACCCCGGAACUGCCUUUGAUACUGGUAGGCUAGAGUUCGGGAGAGGUGAGUGGAAUUCCGAGUGUAGAGAUGAAAUUCGUAGAUAUUCGGAGGAACACCAGUGGCGAAGGCGGCUCACUGGCUCGAUACUGACGCUGAGGUGCGAAAGCGUGGGGAGCAAACGGG